RNAcentral lists this ribosomal RNA (469 nucleotides) under uncultured bacterium. RNAcentral describes it as "bacterial SSU rRNA". It matches the Rfam family "Bacterial small subunit ribosomal RNA", at positions 28 to 507 of the family's 1533-position model. The record is from RNAcentral.
GAUGAACGCUGGCGGCGUGCUUAACACAUGCAAGUCGAACGGAGUUACAUGAAACCUAGUGAUUGUAACUUAGUGGCGGACGGGUGAGUAACGCGUGAGCAACCUGCCUUCCACUGGGGAAUAACGCAGCGAAAGCUGUGCUAAUACCGCAUGAGACCACAGAGGGACAUCCCUUAGGGGUCAAAGAUUUAUCGGUGGAAGAUGGGCUCGCGUCUGAUUAGCUAGUUGGUGAGGUUAACGGGCCCCACCAAGGCGACGAUCAGUAGCCGACCUGAGAGGGUGAUCGGCCACAUUGGAACUGAGAAACGGUCCAAACUCCUACGGGAGGCAGCAGUGGGGAAUAUUGGGCAAUGGGCGCAAGCCUGACCCAGCAACGCCGCGUGAAGGAAGAAGGUUUUCGGAUCGUAAACUUCUAUCCUUGGCGAAGAUAAUGACGGUAGCCGAGAAGGAAGCCCCGGCUAACUACGUG